CAAAUGAAUAAUAAUUUCACCUAUUCUGCGCUAUUAUUAUUAUAGAACAUUGUUCUAAUGUUCUAUGUUAUUAUUGGUUUGUUCUUUGAUACCACGGCUUCAGAGUUUAGAUAUCAUAGAACCAUAUAGAUUAUGGUACAUCACAGUUUCUAUAAUAUAGUAUAGAUUUUAGAGAUAAUAUAAACUUAUUACCAACUAUUAAUCUAUAUCUAUCCUUAGUUAAUCUGCAUUAUUUUGAGUUUAUGUUUGUGGGUAAAUAACACAAUAAAGAUAUCCUAAGACUUAUCUAAACAAGUCGACUAAAGGCAUCUUUAUAGUAUACAUGUAUGUAGUCUAGAACUCAGGAAUCAAGAUUCAGUAAACUAGUAUCAACUGUAGUAUACUACUACAAUAUAUACCCAUGUAGCUACACAUGUCUGAUGUAUGUUUAAAUUAUGAAAAAUCAUCUGAGUCCACAGUGAAAAAUUUGUAGUUCCAAAUGAUUUUUUAAGACCAGAUCAAUACUAGAGAAUGCAAUGAGCAAAGAAAAGAUUUCGGAUAGUGUAUCUGUACUAAUAGAACUUAUAGAAGUAUCUAUUCAUUGUAUACUAUACGCAAGAAAAAUAUAUCCUGAAGGUAUUUUUGAACUAAAGAAGAAAUACAAUGUACCUGUGCAUGUUUCUGUUUAUCCAAAGUUGAAUUCAUAUAUAAAUGGUACACUCAAUGCUGUAAAAAGUCUAUUGAAAUUAAAAAAAAUGUGCAAAUUGGAUGUUAGUUUUUAUAACAAGAUUGGAGUUGUAGUUGAACGCUUUGUAUUAAAUAUUCAUAAUGUUGAACUUGAAUUGAAUUUAUCAGAUUUUUCGAAUUUAAGGGAUCCAUAUUUAGUAAAGUUAGAACAAAUGUUGAGAGCUUUCUGUUUAAAACUAACAGUUUGUGAUUCCCUGUUGAAGCCUUUACCUUCAAGUUGUACAUUUCAGAUUCACAUUCAUACAACUGAAACAAACUCCAUUGAAAUUCAAAAAGAUACAGAAGGAUUUCCAUUAAUACCUAGUGAAAAAAAAGAUACAAUUUUAACAUCACCUGCAAUAGUACCGUUGCGUAGUAUUGACUGUGAACAUUUAAAUUUAGAAAUCUAUGCUGAAGAAGGAAAUAAAGACGAAGACCCGGAUUUAUUUACACAAAGUCCAUUAAUUUAAAUACACUCAAUAUCAAUGUUGAAUAUUUCAUGACAAAAAUUAUUAUGACUAUAGGAUUAUUAAACAGACCAGUUUAAAUCCUUCCCCUAAACUGGGUUAAUCAAGGUAUUAUAGUUAGACAAUUGAAGACAAACAUUUAGAAAAGUAUAAUAAGGCCAGUAAGUAAAAACAUAGAACAUAAUAUUAUUAUAAUUUAAAAAAAAUAUAACAGAAACGGCUGACUUUGGUAUCUUAUACAACUAUUGCAUUUAAUUGGCCCCUCAAAUUGUAAAUUACUCCAAUCAGUUAAAUUAAAAAAUAGACACUUGUUUUACAUAAACAAUUCAGUUUCAAUAGUUGCUUGGAGAUAAGAACCAUUUUUUGCUGUUAAUCAUUCACUGCUAGUACUCAUACAAUUUAUUAUAAACAAUUUCUUAUUUUUCAGAAAAUUCACUCAUGAGUCAUGAACCCCUUUUCCAAAAAAUAAUUUAGAAUUUGAAUUUGGGUACUUAUAGGUUACAUACCAUUGAUAAUUAUAUAGUUUAUUCUAAAAAAAAUGUUAGUAACUGUUAUUUGCAAAAAUAUAAAAAAAGUAAAAAUUAAAAGCAUUAAUCAUAAAUAAGUACUAACUAGGCUAGCAUUUCUAUGCACUUGUGUGUUUUUUUCCUUGAGUCUAAAUUGAUUGGUUGUCAGGUAUGUGCACGAUUUGGAUUAUUCUAAAUUAAAUAGAACAACCUUUUUUUGAAUAUUUUGAACAUAAAGCUCAUGAUUGCAUGGUUUGAUUUAUGAAAAUCUUAUGAAUUUUAAAUGGUAUUUAUCUAAUGAACAUUAAUAAUUAUUAGGUUAUUUGUCGAAUUAUCUUAAAUUAACCAUCAAAAAUCUUAUCUAGGUAAAACGAGCGAUAGAAUUACCUAUAUAUUAUUUUUGUUUUUUAUAAGAAUGAGUUUAGUCAAUAUACAUCCAUUCAUCGUUCUAAUUUGCUCAUCAUUUGAGUUUAAAAAUUUGAAGGAAUAUAUCACAUCAAUAUUUAAUGCAGUGGUGAAAGUAGGGGCAGGGGGACAAAGCCCCCUUAUUGAAAGCAAAAUUAUGCAUCUGGCUUCAAUUAAGUCCUCAGGGAUGCCUAACAAAAAAUGUAUUAACGAGAUAUUUGAUUUAAAUUAAUAUUUGUCUUUUUAAUUAAAUAUAUUCAUAUACAACUAAAACAACUUCAAAAUUUAAAUAAAAACACAAUAUACACUAUUUUUAAUAUUUCAAGCUAUAAAUUGCAAUUUAUUUUUACUGAGCAGGCGUAAUAUGUGUAGGUAGAGCCAUGUUUUUUAGGAGGAAAUUAAUUUUUACAUCCUACAAUAAAAUUUAAUUUUUACGGUAAAUUUAAACCUUUAUAAAUCCUCAUCACAUGAUGCAUAAUAUGUAAUUAU
Myzus persicae (green peach aphid) is the source of this 2572-nucleotide RNA transcript. It is a transcript of the gene named mitotic spindle assembly checkpoint protein MAD2B, with no coding region annotated. NCBI's taxonomy places the organism in Eukaryota, Metazoa, Arthropoda, Insecta, Hemiptera, Aphididae. The record is from RefSeq and is a predicted model, not a curated record. The transcript is spliced from 6 exons.